Molecule: long non-coding RNA, 458 nt
Organism: Callorhinchus milii (elephant shark)
Lineage: Eukaryota; Metazoa; Chordata; Chondrichthyes; Chimaeriformes; Callorhinchidae
Exons: 3
Source: RefSeq, a predicted model, not a curated record
UUUAUUCAUCUCACAUUUCUUAUGUCCUAAUAAUUAAACAAGAGUUUUCUUACUGUUUGUAUUUAAUUCCAGGACAAAGUGAAAUCCUCCUUAGCUUCUCUCACACAGAGGAAGGCCACUGCUCUUGGAGCUGAAGUUAAACAGAAACAGAAUAUUUCACAAGUGAAGCAACAGGCGAACAGUCUGGAGAACCACGUCACGGCAGAGUUUGCUAAAAUGCGCCACAGCCUCACUGACAGAGAGGAGCGUGUAAUCCGAGAGAUCAGAGAGUGAGAGGAGGAGAUGUUACACCAAAUGGAGAAUAAUCUGCGACAGAUUCAGGACAAGUUAGAUUCUACAAAACAUAAUCUGUCAGAGUUACAGAAACUGAUGGAAAAGGACACACUCACCUUUCUGCAGGUAACUGUGAGGAGUGACCAGACAGCAAUGUGAGGAGUGACCAGACAGCAAUGUGAGGA